RNAcentral lists this long non-coding RNA (3109 nucleotides) under Sus scrofa (pig). RNAcentral describes it as "lncRNA (ENSSSCG00000056486.1)". Lineage: Eukaryota; Metazoa; Chordata; Mammalia; Artiodactyla; Suidae. The record is from RNAcentral.
AGAGUCGCACGGCCGACGGAUGGGUUGUGGAGCCCCACGCCUCAAACCGGCUUUCUCUUACCCCCGGGGCGCUCUAUGGACCCGGCUCCCGCCCCGAGGCUGGAUCCCUGCGGGACUGCGCUCCGGAGGGGCGGACACAGUCGCCUUCCGGACCCACGGAAUUGCGGGGUGACAAAAGGCUCGAGCCCGAGGCUCGGUCUGGAGUCGCAUCUGCGCACUCGGAGGCGACAGCGCCAGGUCGGGGGGUCCGGGCGGAAGGACUCCACUUCCCAGAGGGCUCGGGGACACCGCUGCCUGUCCUGGGGGCGUCUGCAGAGCGAGGAGAGAGACUUGUGCCUUCAGUGUCGGUCUUAAAAUGGAACUAAUUCCCCACCGAUAGGUCUCUUUUCUGAAUAACCUGAGCAGCUGUCGUUUAAAAGUUCGGAGUGAUAUUAGCGUCUGGCUGUUAGUUGGCGGUGGGUGAUGGGGACACGUGACACAAAAUAAUUUUCUUAGUAUUUCUCAGUCGUUCUUACCAUAAAGGCUCAAGUCUGGAAACGGAGUGCUAGAGCGGAUUUUGUUGAAAGCAUCCUGGCUCGUUUGAAAAGCAUUGGCGGGGGUGAGAAGUCACUCUCCCUAUGGAGAAAUAUAAAAGCAGCAGCAUGAUUAGGAGUAAGAUCACAAGGAAGCGUUAGCCGUAAGAAAGAAGCCAGGAAGGGAGGAUGGCGCGGACUUGGAUGGGCCCUUCCCUGGAGCCAAAGAUCAGUCGAAGCAAAAGGUACUUUCUUCAAAGUCAGAAACGCUUGCGGCUGCAGCUCUGUUCGUGGAAAUCCGGAGAAACCCAUUGUAUCUCAAUUGCCAUUCUAGUCCACAUUACCGUACUCACCUGAACCGUCUCCACAUCUAAUCUUCCUCAGUUCAUUCCCUCAGUCCGUGGUGUUUGAAGCAGCAGAGAGGAACGUUUAAAAGUUAAAUCUGUUUAUGUCACUCUUCUCAGAACCCUUCAGUGGUUUCUUCUGCCCUGGAGUAGUAUGUAAAGUGAACACAGUUUAUAAAGCCCUGCUUAAUCUGGCUCUGCCUAUCCUGAAUUGGGGAGUCAUCUUCCUAUCUUUCCGUAUACUCAGAUCACAUGGGCUUUUUAUAGCAUCUCACACACCCCAAACCCUUUGCCUCUCUUAGUCUGCAUGUUCUGCUUAGAACAUGUCCCUCUAGCCAGUCUCCAGAUUUCAGUUCAAAUGUCACCUCUUCAAAGAAGCCUUCCCUUCCCCUUCCUUCCCUUUAACUGAAAUAAUUCUCUUGCAGAACCCUGUUCUUUCUCUCCAUAGAUUUACACAAUUUAGACUUUUUUCCCCUGUUAAUGUAUAACAGGCAUGCCAGAAUGGGUGUUAACAGCUUGGAAGAAAAUCCCACCCCCCAGAAAAAAAGAAAAAGAAAAUCCCAAAGACAAUAGUGGAACCUACUUAAGAAUUGGUUUAUUCCAGGAGUUCCCACUGUGGCUCAGAGGAAACAAAUAGGACUAGUAUCCAUGAGGAUGCGGUUCGAUCCCUGGCCUCACUCAGUGGGUUAAGGAUCUGGCUUUGUCAUGAGCUGUGGUAUAGGUCGAAGACGUGGCUUGGAUCUUCUGUUGCUGCACCUGUGGCGUAGGCUGACAGCUGUAGCUUGGAUUCUACCCUCGCCUGGGAACGUCCUGCCCUCCAUAUGCUGCAGGUGCAGCCCUAAAAAGAAAACAAACAAAAACACCUAGUAGUUUCCUGCUAUAUAACCUAGUAGUUAUAUUAUUCAAAAUAAACACUUUUCCUCAGAGGUGUGACUCGAGAAGUCUUGGGUGAAGGGCUGGAGGAAGAGGGUCCAUCUGCCCACGUUUCUUCUUCCUAGCUUGGUCUAUUCUGUUCUGUGGUCCAUCCCCAGCUCAGCACAUCAUGUUAUCCUAUUAUGAUUAUGCAACUGUUGGGGAAAUAAAUUAGGAGAACUGCCCUCAGAGUUGCCACGUUUUACUUGUUUAUCUCCUAGUUGAGACACACAUCUGGCUUGAGGAAUCUAAGUUCCCAGACCAGAGAUCAAACCUGGGUCACAGUUGUGAAAGCGUGAAAUCUUAACUACUGGUCCAUCAGGGAACUCCUCAAAGUCAUUCUACAGAGGAGGGAAGCUUCAGAAGCGAGGCCUGCGAUACUGACAGUGGAGGCCCCCCCCCACCCCUAUUCCUCUUUGUAGAAGACCUGGCUCAGCCAGCGCUGCAGGGCAGUUUCAGGCAUUUGAAGGGACAGAAGGGAGGCAGAUGACAUGGGCAGUCAGUCCACGGCAGUCCAUGGGCAAGUCCCUUCCAGGAAUAUGAACAUAGGGAGGUAGAAGACAGGUCUGGUCUCCAAGCCACCUUUGUGUCCUCACAGUAGGACCCACUCUAGCUAAGGACCCAGGAUGCUCCAUCGUCCCAAAUGAAGACAACUGACGUCAGCGUUUCCUUCCACGUUCCUCCCUCUCAUUUUCCCCGGGUGGGUCGAAUUUUCCCCUGGCAUCUGCUGAUCCUUAGGAUGCUCCUGAGUCAAGAGCAUCUCUGGCCUCACCUCAUAUUCCUCUGGCUUUGUGGCUUCUGGAAACCCGGUCCCAGAGAAGGGGCGGGGCCAGCAGUGCUGUUUCCAAGGAUGGCGGGAACCUCAAAAGCCCCAGGGACCACGGGCUGGUUUUUGGAGGCGACGUCGAGCUCCUUCCCCUAACCCUGUCUGCCUCUACUUUUUCCACAUUUUCAUCAAAGAACAGGAAACCCAGGGCAGGAAUCCCAAACCAUCUGGACGGAGGAUAGCAAACACCGAAUUCUGCAACUGAGAAGCAAGGAAGUUGGCAUGCGAUAAAAUAUAUAGAACAGAUGAGCAUCCAUGGCCUCGUGGCGAAACAGUAGCACACCUGAUUCUAGAUCAGAAGAUGGAGAGGUCAAACUACUCUGGCUUCAAAACAGGCUUUGGAUUCUGAGAGUUUGCUCAUCAUCAGCCUUUAAAAAACCACACUUGGGAAAUUUCUCUUGUGGUCUAGUGGUUGAGGCUGGGCACUCUAACUGCUGCAGCUCCGGUUCAAUUCCCCACGUCAGCUAACUGAGUACCUCUGCAUUUAAACAUCAAUAAAUAACCUUUAGGAGGCC